RNAcentral lists this ribosomal RNA (403 nucleotides) under uncultured bacterium. RNAcentral's name for it is "partial 16S ribosomal RNA". It matches the Rfam family "Bacterial small subunit ribosomal RNA", at positions 28 to 526 of the family's 1533-position model. The record is from RNAcentral.
GACGAACGCUGGCGGCGUGCCUAAUACAUGCAAGUCGAACGCAGUGGGGACGGGUGAGUAACACGUGGGUAACCUCCCAUCAGAGGGGAUAACACUUGGAAACAGGUGCUAAACCGAUAUAGAUGGAUGGACCCGCGGGGCAUUAGCUAGUUGGUGAGGUAACGGCUCAACAAGGCAACGAUACAUAGCCGACCGGGGAGGGGGAUCGGCCACACUGGGACGGGGAAAGGGCCAAGACUCCAACGGGGGGAAGAAGUAGGGAAUUUUGGGCAAUGGAGGAAAGUCUGACCGGGCAACGCGGCGUGAGUGAAGAAGGUUUUCGGAUCGUAAAACUCUGUUGUUAGAGAAGCGGUAUCUAACCAGAAAGCCACGGCUAACUACGUGCCAGCAGCCGCGGUAAUUC